This 161-nucleotide ribosomal RNA is filed under the name Quercus petraea (sessile oak). RNAcentral's name for it is "5.8S ribosomal RNA". It matches the Rfam family "5.8S ribosomal RNA". Rfam says of the family: 5.8S ribosomal RNA (5.8S rRNA) is a component of the large subunit of the eukaryotic ribosome. It is transcribed by RNA polymerase I as part of the 45S precursor that also contains 18S and 28S rRNA. The record is from RNAcentral. Lineage: Eukaryota; Viridiplantae; Streptophyta; Magnoliopsida; Fagales; Fagaceae.
AACGACUUCGGCAACGGAUAUCUAGGCUCUCACAUCGAUGAAGAACGUAGUGAAAUGCAAUACUUGGUGUGAAUUGCAGAAUCCCGCGAAUCAUCAAGUUUUUGAACGCAAGUUGCGCCCGAAGCCAUUCGGCCGAGGGCACGUUUGCCUGGGUGUCACGC